Pezoporus flaviventris is the source of this 659-nucleotide long non-coding RNA. RefSeq lists it as uncharacterized. The transcript is spliced from 3 exons. NCBI's taxonomy places the organism in Eukaryota, Metazoa, Chordata, Aves, Psittaciformes, Psittacidae. The record is from RefSeq and is a predicted model, not a curated record.
GGAAAGAAAAGAAAAGGAGGACUAAUUUUUUUCCCCUUCUUACCAUUUUUUCCCCCUUAAACCCACCUCUUACACAUCUCAAAAACUAGAAAACCUUUUUACUGCAAGAGACCAUGUGACUAACGCAGUCAAUGCUUGUGAAAGAUAACCAGAAAAAUGACCCUAUUUGUCAAGAUGGUUAACAUCUCUUAUCCCAGAUUCUGCACUUCUACUGGAGCUAUCCUGAGCCUCUACAAAAUUACAUGAAGAAUUCUCAGGUAACUCUGAAAAUCAUACUGUUCAACUUCCAUACACUGAAGACAGACUUAGGAGGCAUCAACCCAGAACAAAAGACACAGCAUAAUGAAAGCUGUAGCAGAUAAAAUACUGAGACAUGUGAGCAGAUUUCUGACAAGCUGUACCUGCAGCUACAAAAAUAACUGCAAUUCCAGUUCCCUUUGUCCGUCACCGAUGAGCUUCAUGCCAUCCAGACCACACGUGAAGGGAAGAUGCUAAAUUGAAGCUGUACUGUCACUGAAAAUGAACUGCACAUUCCUCAGCACCCACCCCCCAACAAAAAAAAAAAAAAAAAAAGGGAAAGGAGAAUAGAGAAUACAGAAACCUUUCAAUGCCAAAGCAUUUACGCCUUGGAAGAACUACACCUGAAAGGACUCAUUAAG